Molecule: ribosomal RNA, 482 nt
Filed under: uncultured bacterium
Lineage: Bacteria
Description: bacterial SSU rRNA
Rfam family: Bacterial small subunit ribosomal RNA
Source: RNAcentral
GACAGGCCUAACACAUGCAAGUCGAGGGGCAGCACAAGGAGCAAUCUGAGGUGGCGACCGCGGCACGGGUGAGUAACACGUAUGCAACCUGCCUGUAAGCGGGGAAUAACCCGUUGAAAGACGGACUAAUACCGCAUAAUACUAAAUUACUGCAUGGUAAUUAUUUAAACAUUUAUGGCUUACAGAUGGGCAUGCGCAUGAUUAGCUAGUUGGAGAGGUAACGGCUCCCCAAGGCAACGAUCAUUAGGGGUUCUGAGAGGAAGGUCCCCCACACUGGUACUGAGACACGGACCAGACUCCUACGGGAGGCAGCAGUGAGGAAUAUUGGUCAAUGGACGAGAGUCUGAACCAGCCAAGUCGCGUGCAGGAAGAAUGUCCCUAUGGAUUGUAAACUGCUUUUGCAGGGGAAUAAAGUGCAUCACGUGUGAUGUUUUGUAUGUACUCUGCGAAUAAGGAUCGGCUAACUCCGUGCCAGCCGCCGC